CAGUGGGGAANUAGCGCGGUGGUCCCACCUGACCCCAUGCCGAACUCAGAAGUGAAACGCCGUAGCGCCGAUGGUAGUGUGGGGUCUCCCCAUGCGAGAGUAGGGAACUGCCAGGC
This 116-nucleotide ribosomal RNA is filed under the name Escherichia coli. The record is from RNAcentral. Lineage: Bacteria; Pseudomonadati; Pseudomonadota; Gammaproteobacteria; Enterobacterales; Enterobacteriaceae.